AACGAACGCUGGCGGCAGGCCUAACACAUGCAAGUCGAGCGCGCCUUCGGGCGAGCGGCGGACGGGUUAGUAACGCGUGGGAAUAUGCCCAGAUCUAAGGAAUAGCCACUGGAAACGGUGAGUAAUACCUUAUACGCCCUUCGGGGGAAAGAUUUAUCGGAUUUGGAUUAGCCCGCGUUAGAUUAGGUAGUUGGUGGGGUAAUGGCCUACCAAGCCUACGAUCUAUAGGCUGGUUUUAGAGGAUGAUCAGCAACACUGGGACUGAGACACGGCCCAGACUCCUACGGGAGGCAGCAGUGGGGAAGUCUUGGACAAUGGGGGCAACCCUGAUCCAGCCAUGCCGCGUGAGUGAUGAAGCCUUAGGGUCG
RNAcentral lists this ribosomal RNA (368 nucleotides) under uncultured Alphaproteobacteria bacterium. Its description in RNAcentral is "bacterial SSU rRNA". It matches the Rfam family "Bacterial small subunit ribosomal RNA", at positions 29 to 425 of the family's 1533-position model. Lineage: Bacteria; Pseudomonadati; Pseudomonadota; Alphaproteobacteria. The record is from RNAcentral.